RNAcentral lists this long non-coding RNA (240 nucleotides) under Durio zibethinus. RNAcentral's name for it is "long non-coding RNA (DZIB_LNC000260)". The record is from RNAcentral. Lineage: Eukaryota; Viridiplantae; Streptophyta; Magnoliopsida; Malvales; Malvaceae.
UUUUUUCAUCACCAGAUUCAUCAUUUAGCCACAUCACGUGCCUUUUUAAAUCAUUUUUUUUAAGUUUAUACCAUCUCUUCAUUUUUUUCCUUAUUAUCUUGGAUUUCUUUUCAAAAGAAUGUAAGAAUCUUUUAAGCACAUCAUCAUUUUUUAAAUUAUGAUAAAUAUAAUGCAUUCAUACAUUUUUUCGAUUUAUUUUGGAGAUGCAACAAUAAGAGAACACAAGGUGAAUUACGAGAG